CCUACGGGAGGCAGCAGUAGGGAAUCUUCCACAAUGGGCGAAAGCCUGAUGGAGCAACGCCGCGUGGGUGAAGAAGGUCUUCGGAUCGUAAAACCCUGUUGUCAGAGAAGAAAGUGCGUGAGAGUAACUGUUCACGCUUCGACGGUAUCUAACCAGACAGCCACGGCUAACUACGUGCCAGCAGCCGCGGUCAUACGUAGGUGGCAAGCGUUAUCCGGAUUUAUUGGGCGUAAAGGGAACGCAGGCGGUCUUUUAAGUCCGAUGUGAAAGCCUUCGGCUUAACCGGAGUAGUGCAUUGGAAACUGGGAGACUUGAGUGCAGAAGAGGAGAGUGGAACUCCAUGUGUAGCGGUGAAAUGCGUAGAUAUAUGGAAGAACACCAGUGGCGAAGGCGGCUCUCUGGUCAGUAACUGACGCUGAGGUUCGAAAGCGUGGGUAGCAAACAGGAUUAGAUACCCCUGUAGUC
RNAcentral lists this ribosomal RNA (465 nucleotides) under uncultured bacterium. RNAcentral describes it as "partial 16S ribosomal RNA". It matches the Rfam family "Bacterial small subunit ribosomal RNA", at positions 338 to 795 of the family's 1533-position model. The record is from RNAcentral.